This 446-nucleotide ribosomal RNA is filed under the name uncultured bacterium. RNAcentral describes it as "partial 16S ribosomal RNA". It matches the Rfam family "Bacterial small subunit ribosomal RNA", at positions 338 to 795 of the family's 1533-position model. The record is from RNAcentral.
CCUACGGGUGUCAGCAGUCGAGAAUCAUUCACAAUGGGGGAAACCCUGAUGGUGCGACGCCGCGUGGGGGAAUGAAGUUCUUCGGAUUGUAAACCCCUGUCAUGUGGGAGCAAAUUAAAAAGAUAGUACAACAAGAGGAAGAGAAGGCUAACUCUGUGCCCGCAGCCGCGGGAAUACGGAGGUCUCAAGCGUUGUUCGGAAUCACUGGGCGUAAAGAGUGCGUAGGCAGUUUCGUAAGUCGUGGGUGAAGUGCGCGGGCUCAACCCCCGGACGGCACAUGAUACUGCGAGACUAGAGUAAUGGAGGGGGAACCGGAAUUCUCGGUGUAGCAGUGAAAUGCGUAGAUAUCGAGAGGAACACUCGUGGCGAAGGCGGGUUCCUGGACAUUAACUGACGCUGAGGCACGAAGGCCAGGGGAGCGAAAGGGAUUAGAUACCUUAGUAGUC